RNAcentral lists this long non-coding RNA (239 nucleotides) under Coffea arabica (coffee). RNAcentral's name for it is "long non-coding RNA (CARA_LNC006876)". The record is from RNAcentral. Lineage: Eukaryota; Viridiplantae; Streptophyta; Magnoliopsida; Gentianales; Rubiaceae.
CGGGGGGCAAAAUUUCUCUUCAAAGCUUGAAUGGUGCCAAUCACAUUAAUUGUGACGCCCAAUAAUGCCUCUUUGGAGAGGUUACGAAUAAUGCAAAAAGUAUGAGACUCCAAGAAAAGAAAAGGGAUGAAAUAAUUAUAGAAAUAUACAUGUCUUAAAGGGGUGCAUCAUGUCGGGUACGGGGGACUAAUGUUCGUGACUCAAUUUUCCCUUUUAAUAGAGGGAAUACGAGCGUGCUA